Molecule: non-coding RNA, 21 nt
Filed under: Bos taurus (domestic cattle)
Lineage: Eukaryota; Metazoa; Chordata; Mammalia; Artiodactyla; Bovidae
Also listed under: 1 other name
Gene: bta-miR-29d-5p
Source: miRBase by way of RNAcentral
UGACCGAUUUCUCCUGGUGUU